Molecule: ribosomal RNA, 497 nt
Filed under: uncultured bacterium
Lineage: Bacteria
Description: partial 16S ribosomal RNA
Rfam family: Bacterial small subunit ribosomal RNA
Source: RNAcentral
GACGAACGCUGGCGGCGUGCCUAAUACAUGCAAGUCGAGCGAUGAAGCUUGGUGCUUGCACCCAUUUGAAGAGCAGCGAACGGGUGAGUAACGCGUGGGGAAUCUGCCUUUGAGCGGGGGACAACAUUUGGAAACGAAUGCUAAUACCGCAUAACAACUUUAAACAUAAGUUUUAAGUUUGAAAGAUGCAAUUGCAUCACUCAAAGAUGAUCCCGCGUUGUAUUAGCUAGUUGGUGAGGUAAAGGCUCACCAAGGCGAUGAUACCUAGCCGACCUGAGAGGGUGAUCGGCCACACUGGGACUGAGACACGGCCCAAACUCCUACGGGAGGCAGCAGUAGGGAAUCUUCGGCAAUGGACGAAAGUCUGACCGAGCAACGCCGCGUGAGUGAAGAAGGGUGUCGGAUCGUAAAAGUCUGUUGGUAGAGAAGAACGUUGGUGAGAGUGGAAAGCUCAUCAAGUGACGGUAACUACCCAGAAAGGGACGGCUAACUACGUG